GCCGACGUGGCGCAAUUGGUAGCGCAACGCUCUUGUAAAGCGUAGGUUACGGGUUCAAGUCCCGUCGUCGGCUCCA
This 76-nucleotide transfer RNA is filed under the name Plantibacter flavus. Its description in RNAcentral is "tRNA-Thr". It matches the Rfam family "tRNA". From Rfam's summary of the family: Transfer RNA (tRNA) molecules are approximately 80 nucleotides in length. Their secondary structure includes four short double-helical elements and three loops (D, anti-codon, and T loops). Further hydrogen bonds mediate the characteristic L-shaped molecular structure. tRNAs have two regions of fundamental functional importance: the anti-codon, which is responsible for specific mRNA codon recognition, and the 3' end, to which the tRNAs corresponding amino acid is attached (by aminoacyl-tRNA synthetases). tRNAs cope with the degeneracy of the genetic code in two manners: having more than one tRNA (with a specific anti-codon) for a particular amino acid; and 'wobble' base-pairing, i.e. permitting non-standard base-pairing at the 3rd anti-codon position. The record is from RNAcentral. Lineage: Bacteria; Bacillati; Actinomycetota; Actinomycetes; Micrococcales; Microbacteriaceae. RNAcentral also lists the same sequence under 22 other names.